This 253-nucleotide ribosomal RNA is filed under the name uncultured bacterium. Its description in RNAcentral is "partial 16S ribosomal RNA". It matches the Rfam family "Bacterial small subunit ribosomal RNA", at positions 524 to 776 of the family's 1533-position model. The record is from RNAcentral.
UACGAAGGGGGCUAGCGUUGCUCGGAAUUACUGGGCGUAAAGCGCACGUAGGCGGCUUUCUAAGUCGGGGGUGAAAUCCUGGAGCUCAACUCCAGAACUGCCUUCGAUACUGGAAAGCUCGAGUCCGGGAGAGGUGAGUGGAACUGCGAGUGUAGAGGUGAAAUGCGUAGAUAUCGGAAGGAACAUCAGUGGCGAAAGCGACUUCCUGGACCAAUACUGACGCUCAUGUGCGAAAGCGUGGGGAGCAAACAGG